GAUGAACGCUGGCGGCGUGCUUAACACAUGCAAGCCGAACGAAGCAUUUGCGACAGAUUUUUUCGGAAUGAAGUUGCUUAUGACUGAGUGGCGGACGGGUGAGUAACGCGUGGGUAACCUGCCUUGUACUGGGGGAUAGCAGCUGGAAACGGCUGGUAAUACCGCAUAAGCGCACAAUGUUGCAUGACAUGGUGUGAAAAACUCCGGUGGUAUAAGAUGGACCCGCGUCUGAUUAGCUAGUUGGUGAGAUAACAGCCCACCAAGGCGACGAUCAGUAGCCGACCUGAGAGGGUGACCGGCCACAUUGGGACUGAGACACGGCCCAGACUCCUACGGGAGGCAGCAGUGGGGAAUAUUGCACAAUGGAGGAAACUCUGAUGCAGCGACGCCGCGCGAGUGAAGAAGUAAUUCGUUAUGUAAAGCUCUAUCAGCAGGGAAGAUAGUGACGGUACCUGACUAAGAAGCUCCGGCUAAAUACGUG
This 481-nucleotide ribosomal RNA is filed under the name uncultured bacterium. RNAcentral describes it as "partial 16S ribosomal RNA". It matches the Rfam family "Bacterial small subunit ribosomal RNA", at positions 28 to 507 of the family's 1533-position model. The record is from RNAcentral.